CUCCUUUUCCAGCCUCCUCCGCCCGAGGCCUCCGUGGGCUUCCGGGGUCGGGGCCGCACGCCGGAGCCGCUCCGGGAGGCCGUGCGCCCCGGCCCGGGACCGGGGCGUUCGCUCUCGGCCGGAGGCGGGCCCGGGCUCCCGGAGAGGAGCGGCGGCGCCCGGCCCGGGCCUAGCACCGAGCGACCCCCGCCGCGCCCCGCCCCGGGCCCGCCGAGCCGCCUCCGCCCGCGCGCGCCCUCGACGGAGAGGCGCCCGGCCCGGCCCCACCGACGGCCCCGCUCGCUCCGCCGGGCGCGCGGCCAGUUUCCAUGAUGCGGACGCAGCCCGGGAGCCCCCGCCUGGGAUUGAUUAGCCCGCGGCCCGCGCUAAUGAGAGCCGGCUGCGCGCGGCCCGCGCCCCCCUGCCCCCGGACGCCGGCAGCCCCCGGCCGCAGGGCCCCUGCCCCGCCGACGCCGCUCUCCCCUCUGCUCUCGGAGGCCGACGCCAGAGGCCUCUGCCUUCGCUAAUCCCGCUCGCCGGGCCUCUGGGUGACAGCCCUGCCUCCAGGCGCUUCUGGCCAACAGUGUCCCUCCCCCAGCCUGGGCCACGAGCCCUGGGCACAAGCGACGUUCUCAGCUGUCUGGGCCUCCACAUCAGUUCCUGAAUCCCAACCUCUACGCCGCUGGGGGCCCCACUCACCACCAGAGCACACUCGGGUGUCCUCAUGCUCUCGCUCCCCUGCGGUCGCCCCUUUUCCCUCUCCAUCUAGAACCAGCCUGGAGCCACUUUCGUUUCCAGGCCACUCCAUCUCUUCGGAGUCCCGGUGGUCUAGCCUCUGCCUGCCCCUGCUAACUGGUCUGCACCCGAGCAGCGUUUCACUGGGAACUGCCCCAGCUCUCCAAAAGGUUCCCGGGCUCUUCUGGUUCGAGCCUGCUCCUGCCCCUCUCACCUGGCCGGUGUGGCUGAAUCUGUCUAGGUCCCCAGCCCCGUCUGAGCUCCGGCGCCAGGCAGGGCUCACCAGUUUCUGGUUUUUUCGCCGAUUCCCCUUUCCCACCUCAAGCUCCUCCAGAGCUCUGGGCUCUUGCUGCAGCUCCUGGCCGGGACUCCCCUCUUCUGCGCACCGUUGAGCCCAGAAGGCUCUUGGGGAUCGCUCUCUUUCUGGGGCCCUGGCCGGCCUUGAGGUCUGAGGCGCAAGGCUGGUUCCGACCUGCUCCUUCCUGGAGCCUUGUGCUCAGGGGAAUGUGUGUCCCAGCUGGCCCUCCAAUCCAGAGAAAUGGGUGUGAGGCUAUGUCUUCCUUCACUCCUCUCCUAUGCUCCACCCUGGGCCCUGGCUCAAGGGAAGGAGGGAGGGAUGGAGAGAAAGAACGCCUAAGCUCCCUGUGGCUCAGUUUCCCCAUCUUUACACGAACACACACAGCACCACAGAGCGUUCUCAAAGUUGCAGUGAGAGCACACGUGUUGAACACCUGGCGCAAAGUGCUUGCCAACAGCCUGCCUGGCCUCUCUCUGUGCGUGGCUUCAGGCACGGCUGGAGCUGUGAAGGGGUUGGUGAGGACAGGGCCCUUUCCCAGGUGUAACCCUGUGUCUGAUUCUCCCUGAGAGCUGCUGAGAGGGCGAGUGAAACCCCGGGUGAGGGCUGAAGAGGCAGGCAUUCCAAGGCCUCCCCUGCAAAGGGACCUCCCAGCCUGGUGGUUCCAUCCUGUCUCUGCAGAUGUGUGGCUGGCCGGUGGCCUUUGAGUGGGGACAGUGAUAAUCUCCAGGAGGUCUGGAUCUCACUCAUUCUGCCCUGGCCUCUGUGUGACCUGGAUGCCUGCCUUCCCUUCUGGACUGGGAGGAGCCUUCGUGGAGGAGGUACAAGCUGGAAAUGUGACACCAUCACCCCAGGCCAGCCUGGGGGAGGGCGCAGUGUGACACACACACACACACAGCCCCAACAUGCCCAGGGCCUGGAAUCUCUCAUCCUCACUUGAGGAUGGGUGCCAGGCCUCAUCCUCUUUGCUAAAGCUGAGGAAACCAGACUGUUUUUCUGGCUCCUACCGUGGCCUGAGUGAGUGCCUGCCUUCCUCCUGGCCUUCCGAAUGCUCGCCAUCUUGCCCACCUUCCAAGGAGCCCUCCAGAGGCUACACGGAAUACAAAGUCUUGGAGGCGGAGGGAGAGAGCGGUUGCCUAGUCUCGAGGUUUGAAAUCUCUCUUCCCUCCCCCACUGGCUGCAGAUGCAGAAGACCCAGGUUCCAGUUUGGUUUCCCAUCACCCACGUGAAGGCUCACAACUGUCUGUAACUCUAAUUCCCUGAUACUUUCUGACUUUGGACACUAGGCAUACACAUAAGUAGGAAUAAAUUUAUUUUUUAAAUCAA
Long non-coding RNA from Psammomys obesus (fat sand rat), 2335 nucleotides. RefSeq lists it as uncharacterized. The transcript has 2 exons. The record is from RefSeq and is a predicted model, not a curated record. Lineage: Eukaryota; Metazoa; Chordata; Mammalia; Rodentia; Muridae.